GUUUUCAUUGUGUUCAAUCAGCUUGCUUGUUCUUAUAGAACAGUUUCUAUCAAAUUAGGAUCGCCCAUGACAGUGCGACCUAGUUUCGUGAUUUCGUGACAACGUGAGUGAGUUCCAAGUUUUCGUUAUCAUGUAGUUAGGUUUCAACAUAAAGGAAGAAAACAAAAAAUAAAAAAAAAAUAAAGGAAGAAAAUAAGUAAACAGGCCUAGUAAGCGACGUUUAGAUCAUUUCAGACGUUCUCUGAAACAAUGUCACGUUCUACCUUGGAUAUUGUGACAAACCUACAGAGUGUAGGCCUGGCACCCCACCCCCAGAGUAGCCUUGUUAUUAUAUUCAAGAUAUACGUUCCCUCAUGCGGAGCAAAAACAGACGGCUUUCUUUGAUAAUUUGGGAUUUCAUCAAUAAUGAAUGAACUCAUAUAACUUAUAACUGUUUUCGAUACAGAGUCCUAAGAUAUCUAUUUUAUUGGCUCUUUCGCCUGUUCCAAAUUCUUUUUUUGGUUCGAAAGUGGAAAAAAAAUCUAUUUUCAAAACAGUGUUAAGUUAUUUUGCUAUCUUCGUCUAAGCUAACAAAAACCAACGCACCGAAACUGUCGUUCGGUCUAAUGAGUGAAAGGCGUCCGUAUGAUACGUUUAUGAUGAUUGGUUUCUAUUUCAGUAAUAACAAACUAAGAUAUCAAGGUCGCCAUGGAUCAUCAGCUGGAUUCCUUCGAACAACAGGCAUAAAAUUAAAGUCAAUUUUUUUUACUGAUUUUUUUUUUUUCAAUUUUUCUCAAAGUAUUGGAUACACUUCUGACAAAUUUUAAAUAUUUGUAAGACUGCACCAGGCAGGUGCUUAUUAGAGUAACAAAUAACUAUAUAGCGUAUACAGCAAAAAUUCGUGAGGCAGGCUUGAGAUCAGGAGGUCAAAGAUCUGCGCCAGUAAUUGGUUGAAAAAAUGUAAACCAAUCAAUGGGUGUUCCAAGUUUGCUUGACGGAUCUAAUUUCUGAGAAAUCUCGAAUAGUUCAGCUCAACACUGCAGACGCCAUCAACAUUCAACGCCGAGAAAGCACACUCCAAAGUCAUACGCAGCAGAUACGAGUAAUGGCAGUGGUACUGAAGCUGAUUUCCAAAUCGAUCGUAUGCAGUUGGCUUGAAUAUAGAGUAGUUAAAAUAACAGUGAUAACCUGUCACCGUGCUCAGAGAUUCCUAUCAAACAGCCAGGAGUUGAAGCAAACAAAAAGGUCUGACAAGAUCAUAUUCUUUGCAACAAUCAUCGACCACGUAAAUGAUAUGCACAACGCGGCUGUCCCUUAUGAACCGGGAUGAGACCUGUAUCACUGAUCCUCGCUCAGUUAACAAAUCCUGUGCAAGUAUGGUGUAUGGCCUCUUUUUUCACGAGAGGUAUGUUAUUUGCAUGUAUAUGCAAAACAGGUCGAUUUAUUAAUCUGGAAAUACAGGAAGACUCUUCACUAAGUUUUAUGCUUGUUAUUCAAAUAGGUAGACACGAGCGGAGACUGGGGGAAAACUUUUGUCCUUUAACUUUCAAUGUUUUGAACGUCACGCAUGUAAACGCGCGUGGUUCUGCCUCCAUUGAAGACGUUAAACGAGCUGACAAGGAUAGCUGGCAAGCAAGAAGGGUGAGAAACAUCUUGGUGUGGAAAGCGAAGUAGAAUAGAAGUGGAAGCAUCCGUACAAGGCGAUACACGUUUUAACAGAGAUGAUCAUAUUGGUCGUUGUUUUCGUGAACGCAACACUGGGUACAUUCUUUGUAAUAGUCCACAUAAUCAGGUACCAAAACCAACAAUGGGCAGGAAUUCAAGACUUUGUGAGUAUAUUUGUUUGCCUCUUAUAAAAAUA
Orbicella faveolata is the source of this 1840-nucleotide long non-coding RNA. Lineage: Eukaryota; Metazoa; Cnidaria; Anthozoa; Scleractinia; Merulinidae. The record is from RefSeq and is a predicted model, not a curated record.